This 466-nucleotide ribosomal RNA is filed under the name uncultured bacterium. RNAcentral's name for it is "bacterial SSU rRNA". It matches the Rfam family "Bacterial small subunit ribosomal RNA", at positions 33 to 518 of the family's 1533-position model. The record is from RNAcentral.
ACGCUGGCGGCGUGCUUCAUACAUGCAAGUCGAACGAUAAGGUCUCUUCGGAGAUACAUAAGUGGCGGACGGGUGAGUAAUGUGUAGAGAAUCUGCCCUAGAGAUGGGGAUAACAGUUGGAAACGACUGCUAAUACCCAAUAUGAGCGUAGUUGAAAUACUAUUCUUGAAAACUCCGGUGCUCUGGGAUGAGUCUGCAUCUGAUUAGCUAGUUGGGGGUGUAAUGGACCACCAAGGCGACGAUCAGUAGCUGGUUUGAGAGGACGAUCAGCCACAAUGGGACUGAGACACGGCCCAUACUCCUACGGGAGGCAGCAGUAGGGAAUUUUGCGCAAUGGGGGAAACCCUGACGCAGCCAACGCCGCGUGAAUGAAGAAGCCCUUCGGGGUGUAAAGUUCUGUCAGUAGGGAAGAAUAAAUGACUGUACCUACAGAGGAAGCAUCGGCUAACUCCGUGCCAGCCGCUGC